Molecule: ribosomal RNA, 910 nt
Filed under: uncultured archaeon
Lineage: Archaea
Description: bacterial SSU rRNA
Rfam family: Archaeal small subunit ribosomal RNA
Source: RNAcentral
CUGGUUGAUCCUGCCAGAGGCCAUUGCUAUCAGGGUUUGACUAAGCCAUGCGAGUCGAGAGGUGUAAGACCUCGGCAUACUGCUCAGUAACACGUGGUUAACCUGCCCUAAGGUGGAGAAUACUCCCGGGAAACUGGGGCUAAUGCUCCAUAGUGGAUAUGUCCUGGAAUGGUAUAUCCUCGAAAGAUCCGUCGCCUUAGGAUGGGACUGCGUCCGAUUAGGUCGUUGGCGGGGUAACGGCCCACCAAGCCAUUGAUCGGUACGGGUUGUGGGAGCAAGAUCCCGGAGAUGGAUUCUGAGACAUGAAUCCAGGCCCUACGGGGCGCAGCAGGCGCGCAAACUUUACAAUGCGAGCAAUCGUGAUAAGGAAACCCUGAGUGCCUGUCGAUGCAGGCUGUUCAUAUAUCUAAAUCAUAUGUGAAGAAAGGGCAGGGCAAGACCGGUGCCAGCCGCCGCGGUAAUACCGGCUGCUCGAGUGAUGGCCACUAUUACUGGGUUUAAAGCGUCCGUAGCUUGACUGUUAGGUCUCUUGGGAAAUCUUCACGCUCAACGUGAAGGCGUCUAAGAGAUACCGGCAGUCUUGGAACUGGGAGAGGUAAACCGUACUUCGGGGGUAGGAGUGAAAUCUUGUAAUCCUCGAGGGACGACCUAUGGCGAAGGCAGUUUACCAGAACAGCUUCGACAGUGAGGGACGAAAGCUGGGGGAGCAAACGGGAUUAGAUACCCCGGUAGUCCCAGCCGUAAACAAUGUGCGUUAGGUGUGUCGGUAACCACGUGUUACUGAUGCGCCGAAGAGAAAUCGUGAAACGCACCACCUGGGAAGUACGGUCGCAAGGCUGAAACUUAAAGGAAUUGGCGGGGGAGCACCACAACGGGUGGAGCUUGCGGUUUAAUUGGAUUCAACGCCGGG